UAAGGACACCAUCUUCUAAUGAACA
Molecule: unclassified non-coding RNA, 25 nt
Filed under: Mus musculus (house mouse)
Lineage: Eukaryota; Metazoa; Chordata; Mammalia; Rodentia; Muridae
Description: oocyte_clustered_small_RNA8772
Source: RNAcentral